CUUCUUCUCCAGCGAGCAAAACAAGUGAGGGAACCUGGGUUUAUUAGAAACAUAAAAUCACAAACAUCAACAAACAACAACAACAAAAUAAUUCGUACAACAUAUCAAAUAUAAAAAAUUCCAAUUCCUUUCUCCUCUUCUUCUCCAGCCAUAUCAAAUAAUUCGUACAACAUCAACAAACACAAAAUCAAACCAAAAUCCAUAUAUUCUCAUCAUCAUCUCCAUUUGUUCUAAAAAAACAACAAAAUGGAACCUUGAUUAAAAGGGUUUAUUAGGAAGGUCUGUAACACUGGGAAGAGAAGGAGCAUAAAUAGAGUAAACAAUGGCUUGUUGUUUAGCAACAUCAAGCUGAGAUUUUCCAAACAAAAAAGCUUUGGAAAGCAAAGAAGGUUCAGAAAGUGUUGGGUUUGAACGAAACGCAUCGACGACGCGUUGUUUUGUAUUUUCGCGUAUGUUGUAAUCUGGAAAUUGGCGAGAAACGCGGAGAAGGGUUUGGGAUGCGACCUUGAACCACCACAAAUCCAACACUGUCAACUUCCGGUUCCUUCUGCACAGAUCUGUGUUUAUGGGUUUGGGAAGAGAAGAGAAGAGAGAAGAGAAGAGAAGAAGGGAAAAGAGGAAAAUGGAGAGAAGUGAUUUGAUGUUGAUGUUGUUCUGUUGAUGCAAAGAGGAAAAUAGGGAAUGAUUAGUGAUUUGAUGUUGUUCUGUUUUUAAAAGGGUACCUUGUUGUUGUUGUUGAUGUUGUUCCGUUGGACUUUUUUUUUAUAGAGAGAAAUGAUGAUUAGAGUGUUGAAGAUGAUGAUUUUCUUUUUUUUGGAUUUUUU
RNAcentral lists this long non-coding RNA (824 nucleotides) under Medicago truncatula (barrel medic). RNAcentral describes it as "lncRNA gene41932". The record is from RNAcentral. Lineage: Eukaryota; Viridiplantae; Streptophyta; Magnoliopsida; Fabales; Fabaceae.